UUGAGCUUUCGCUGGAUUUGUCUAUUAGAAACUAAGCAACGAUCAUGUAGUCUACGAAUGUUUGACGAAUAAACCCAGUGAAAGGUCCACUCGAGCUACUCGAGCCAACUUAGUUCUAUUUUUCAAGUGUAGGUGUCGCAUGUACUAUUUUGAGCUGUCAAAAUUGGACUUAGCAAAAUUUGCCAUGUUUUCGGUUUGUUUUGUUUGCGAAUUAAGUUUCCCGUCGUCAUCGGAACAAAUGGAACAAAUGGAUCGGGUAAGGAAAGGUGGAGCGGUAAAAAAGGUUUUUGGUUCCGUUGCCUAUUUUUUUUUUUGUUUUAGCUUUUGCUGCCCCUACCAGGCAUGUCCAUCCUAACGUGUGAGUCGAUCGGGAAGCCGAUUCCGAACCGGGCUUCGGUGAUGGUCAAGCUUCCGAUGCAACGCGGCAACAAGGAGGACAUUGUCCAGCAAGGCGAACACUUCCAUCCUCCGCCGUUCUCCGUCAUGGACAAUAUCGAUGCCCAACGAUUUCUUGCGGUAGCAAAACGCCCAACCACAGCAGCAGAAAUACGCUGAUCGCGAUCGCGCCAGGACGAUGCCGGCGACAAAUGCUCUUCCGGCGUACCCUGUUCGCAGCCUCUUGGGGGAUAAGAAGGUACCAUCUCAGUGAUGUGGGAGGUUGUGGAGCGGAACAUCGAACAGCUGCUGUUCAAGCGGGAUGACGAUUUCGUGUACGUGUCAACUGAGCUAGUUGUCCCGACCGCCCAGAAGCAAACCAACGAGGCGUCUGCGCUAACGCAUGCCAACGAUCGCCAAACAACUGCCCGGAUUUCACAGGACGUCACCUGGACUCGCCCGAACCCUGACUGCCCUCGGCAAAUCCAAAGGAACCGCUCUCCAACUGUGAAACAGCCUGGAAGCUUCCCAGAUUAUCGCGACCAUCCCCAAAACAAGCACCUUCGUCAUCCGUGACAUCGAGUCCAUCCCGAAGGGCAUAGGCGCCUGUCCCCGCAAACCCGGCCUCGACCCGUACGUAACCAACCGCCGUCCGCGAAGAAAACUCCCGCACGGAUUCCACAUCCUGCUCCAGGUCAAAACCAAGUCGGAAUUCCUGCGUCUCCUCCUGCACAUCAUCGACGAGUCGUGCACCCAUUUCGACAUCAGCCCUUCCCCGGCUGGAAGCACCUGGAAGCGACCACCUUGUAGGCGCUGCAACGCCUCAACGUCUAUUUCACAUAAAGCAUCCGGAGGUUUAUCCGAUUGCCGCCGCCGCGUGGAUAUCUGCUGCGCGGACCUCCCGGCUCGGAGAAGACGUUGCUUGCGCACGCCAUCGCUGGCCAGCUUAUGAAUGGACUAAUUGAGAUCGCCGCCAAUGAUUCGGUAGCGGCUAUUCCGAAGACUCGGAGGAACGCAUCCGGGAGGUGUUCGAUCAGGCAGCAUACUCUCAUACUCUUCGACAAGCUCAACGCCAUCUUGGCGAACCGGACUUAUAAACAACCAGUCGUUGUGCACCAACCAGCCGGAUGCGCUCGACCCUGCCCUGCGUCGCGCCGGUCGCUUUGACCAGGAAAUCUCGCUAGGAAUUUCGGACCGCGAGGCGGUUUUCUUGCGAGUGUUUGCGUGGCGUGGUGUUGGUUGGCGCAAUUGGAGGAACGGCGAUCAUCGCUGCUGCGCCUACUGAACUUCCGUUCAGAUUGCUCGCGACUACCAGCUCACGACGGAUGACGACGGUAGAGAUUCUGGUCCUCGAUGCGUUCCUCUGACUCUGAGCCAAAAAACAGCAACAAUCUGUUUGUAUGUCUCACAGACAGCACGACAACCACGGGCGAUUUGCGGCACCAAAUGUCAGAACUGGCCCGUUUCAUGUUUAACUCGCUAGCCUUAUCCGGAUCGGCGGGAUCCAAUCAGUCGCACUGCAAGUUGCCGACACCGAUGCCACCACGGCGAGAUCCAAAGACGAGGACUUGCCAAAUGGAUGGUCGCCGGAGUGGAGGGUGUGGCAGCGGAAGGACGAUAACGAUAGUUUGGGAUCGGGCCAAGCCAAGUCGACAUCGGAGGAAUCAGCGUGUGCUAUGAUUACGCGUUGGACGCGACCAACUUUGCGCCAGUCAUCAUAAUCUACCAAAAGUUGUUUCGGCGAUCAGCAACCGCGGAAGGCGAGAACAAAUCUCGGCCAGCGUUUUGUCGAAUAACGGUCGCCGAGUUUGAAGAGGUUCCAGAGUGGGUUCGAUAAUGGUGCAGCGACGUCACCGACUAACCCCCAGAAAGGAACAAUCAUGUACACUAGCGUGGCCGAUGUGAGGCGCAAACCCCACUCCGAUUCAGCUGAUCAGACACGAUCUGAAUCGCAUCUUCUACAGCACGCAGAGCCUUGCGGGGACCAUCGUCCAGCUGGUUCAAUACCGUCAGCAACAAGGGCACGGAAACAUUGUCAGACUGGCCUGCAGAAGUACACUUAUUCCUAAGCCAAAGAGCAGCGUCCAAAAUGCUCGACUUCGAAGUCAUGUCCAGCUUCAUCCCGAACGCCAAAAUGUACGUGAGCUACCUAACAACGACCGUAAUGUCCGCGACCAGCAGCUGCAGCAGUGGCAUACCACCACCGAGGUCCGCAAAUCGUCAUCGAUAUGAAGGAGUUCGUCCAGCACGACAAUCGGUUACAGCGCCAUCAACGUCCCAACGUCCGGAAGCGUUGAAGCAUUCUGUAUGCCCAACAGGGACGUUCUGCGGCCAUGCAACAGCAGUGCAAAACAACAUCUGGGAGGAACCCAUCAUCUGGACGAGAAUGUUGGUGGAAUGGACCGGAAGUUUAUUGGCACAUUGGACGGCACGGAUCUCCCGGCUCGGGGAAGGCGUUACUUGCGCACGCCACCGAUGGUAAUCUGGACUGAUUGAGAUCACCACCACGAAGUUAGUCGCGGGAGUUUCCGGGAGUCGGAGGAACCCAUCCGGAAGGUGUUUAAGCAGGCAUCGAUCCUCUCGCCGCGCGUACUCUUCAUCGACCAGAUCAACCGCGUCACCUCGAAGAACAUGGAACGACAAAUCGAUGCGCAGCUGCUAAGCAGCUUGGACGGGAUCUCGCGGAUCAAACCGGCCGGAUGCUACGAAGAACUCGCCAAACUAACCCCUGGUUACGCCGAAGCAGAUCUGCUGACGCUGGUCACCCGCACGGCCACGACCGACAUCAAGCGAAUGCUCACCGAAAUCGAACGCCAACAGUAAUUUAUAUUAAUUAGU
Long non-coding RNA from Culex quinquefasciatus (southern house mosquito), 3213 nucleotides. RefSeq lists it as uncharacterized. The transcript has 4 exons. NCBI's taxonomy places the organism in Eukaryota, Metazoa, Arthropoda, Insecta, Diptera, Culicidae. The record is from RefSeq and is a predicted model, not a curated record.